AUGCCACGUCGCGAAAAAUGUGGUAUUUCGUACUCAAUUCAGUUCUCAGGCUCGACUACAGGACUCGUUUAAAAGUUCGGAAACCGUUGCUUCCGGCAACGUGUCGUCGUUCUUCUUAUCAGUGAAAGUCACUCUAUUAAAAUGCGCGUGUAAGCGUCUCGUAAAGGGGAAUCGAGUGGAUCGUUGGUCUCACAACACCAACGCAAGGUGCCAUCGAGACAAACACGAGCCUGUUCGACGGCUUUCCAUUUCCAUUGACGUCGAUUUUACUUUCGGCAAGUUUAAUAGAUUUUCCGCGCUGAUAAUCAAGGAGGUCGAGAAAUUAGAAGCGAACAAAAACGAUAGCUAAAGUGCCGAGAAUACUUACUCGAGGUCAAGAUUUUUUAAUUCCUCGUCGAUGCUCGAUAUGAACGAGUAGUUCGAUAUAUCGAACGAGUUGUAGAUAUAGGUCUCUCUUGCUUGCUGCAUCUCCGCUUAAAAUAUAUUAUCUGAAAUAUACAAAUAGAGGGAUCAUCGAUAAGAAAACUAUGCUAUUUUCAUAGAUAAGAAAAUAAAAAUAGGAAUGGUUCGACGACCCGGUAAAGAAAAAAAAAAAAGGAAAAAAAAGAAGAAAAAAUGAAAAGAAGAUGACUGUAAAGGAAGAAACGGCUUAUUCGACGAUUCAAUUUCUUCCGGUAAUUGUGACUCUUUCCCUGAUCGAACAACGUUCCUUUCGAUUGAAUAACCCGAAAGAUAGACGACGUGUGACCAGUGAUCUAGUUUUCUCGGAAUUAUGCAUCACGCGAAAGAAAGAGCUUUCGAAGCUUUUAAGAGUUAAAAGGCAUCGAGUCACGAUCGCAUUGAAUUUUCCAUUCGGACCUAACGUUUACCCGUUGACAUUAAUUGGAAAUCGAUGCCGUUUGCCUCUCUCCAUUUCUCUUUCUAUUUCUACGGUACGUUAAACUGACGCUAUUUAUUUCGAACGGUCGGUCGUCCAUUUAAAAAAAAAAAAAAAAAAAAAAAAAAAAAAAAAAAAAAUUACAACGAACUUUUCAAAUCUCAUAAAUAUUAAAAAUGACAAAAGAACAAAUUCGAAAUUUAAAGUUUGUUUUUCCAAAGAAUUUCUUUGAAUUACAAAGAAUUUUAUCGAAUUAUAUUAGACGAAAUCCGAUAGUGUAGGAAAAGAUCUUCGUGAUUUCAGUGAAUCUCAAUUGCAAACUUUACUUACUCCUCGUUAAAGUUUUAAGAUGAGGACGUCGUCUCUACAGUUAUAUGUUGUACAAUGUCCGACGUUUUAUCCGACGAUCCAAACGAUUGCACUAACAAUGCGAAAAAAGGAGGCUCGAGUCUGCCCACGUCUAUGAGGGCUCUCUCCGUCACUUUAGUUAGCCUAUUACUACCAUUAAACAAGUUACUCUUCGUACAGCUUUAUAGCAUUGACACUCACCGAUAAAAUCUUUUCUUAGUGAUAGAAACAUUUUUUUUUUGCUUAUUGACAUGGCAUCUUGCAUAUGAAUCGUGUGCCAACUUUCCUUCAUUAAUAAUAAAUUUAUCUUUUCAUUUUUAGAUCAACGUCACAAUCAUUACUUUUAAAAACUCAUUUUUAAGAAUCAUAAUGAAAGUCGUAAAUUAUCUUUUUUAUAUAUUUCAAAUAGAGAAUAUAUUCAAGGAAAGAUUGAUCAACAAAUUUAUAUAUUCAAACAUAAUUGCAAAAUGAAUGAUAUAACAAUAUAGAUAUGUAAAAUAUCGCUGUCCUCGCUCCGAUUAGAUUCUUAUUAAUACAUUUACUUCAUUUGUUAUCAUUCUUCAACGUGUAUGGAUUAAGAUCUAACAAAUCUCUUUUGAGAUUAAUUCGAGAUUAAAGUAUCAUUAUACAAUGAUUUUACGAGUUAUAAAUUAAUUUGACUAUAGAAUUUAUUUAUUUAAUUUGACCAUAUAAUUAUGAACAUUUAUCUGUAUACCACUUGUAAAAUAACUGAACGAAAUAUGCCAAUCGAAUAAGUGACAAGAUUGUAUCAUUCCAAUAAUCAAUAGAGACUUGUUGGAAGGAAACAAAAAAAUAAGAUACAUAAUUAAUAUAUCAGCAUAAAAAAAAAAUAGUAUAAAAAUAUUAAUUCAUAAUUUUUUCCCCUGGAAAUCUCUUUUUUCCUUCAAAAAAAAAAAAAAAAAAAUUUAUGCGUCGGAAUGCAGUCCAUAUAUCUAUUAUUAUCAUUUCUACAAACCACGAUAACGAUAAUAUCCGUAUUUACCUUUCUUGGGAGUGUCUUCGACGAAAUUGAGAGUAGGCCGUUAUCAAGUCGUGUUAUUAGUAUCUAAUAAUUGAUCGUAACUGAUUUUCAUAUUGAAUUGUGUUUAACUUCGCAUUGAAUUGUGUUUAAACAAUGAAAUUGUCUCUGUUAAUUAAUAUUCUUUUAAUAGCUUUAUCAGAUCGUCAAUAAUUUGUAACUCAUGCUUAAACAUUAAUUAAGAUCAUUGGAAAUAAUGUAAACAUUUUGUUAAAAACAUUUAACAUUCUAUUAUAUACCAAAGAGAACAGUAGCAUAUAAUUAAAAUUAAUGAUUAUUAUAUGUAAUAUGUGAUUUUAAACUUACCGAAUAUUUCUUUCUGUUAAAGUUUACAAUUUUGGAUUUAAUCGAAACAUAGUGAAGACUAUUUUAUAUGAACAAGAUUGAAAAAAAGCACAUAAUUAAAAGUAUCACAUAAUUCACAAAUGAUAAGUUGAACUUUUGUAGAUAUAUUGCGAUUCAGACAUAUCUUUACAAAGAAUACUAUCUUAAGCCUGUUCACCACCUUUCGCUUGAAGCGUGUGUGACUUCAGCGACAACUAUGGACAAUAUAUGAACUACAAGCACAAUAAGAGAUAUUGUUCCAACUUACGUAAAUAUCGCUAUGGCUUUGUAUGUGUUGAUUAUACCUCUUUCAGAAAUAAUCUAAUAUUCGAAUUAGAGUUAUUUAUUAGUAUUGAUAUACUAGUGUGUUAAGAAAAACGGUGAUUCUAUAUUAAAAAUCUACGUUCGCGAGAUAAUCUAAUCGAAUUUUUAAAGUAAAAUUUUCAAAAACUAAAUUCUCGAUAAUAUUUUUAAUCGUGCUCGUGAAUACUAAUACCUGUGUACUGUCCAACACGCAUACAAAUAUUCUCCCUAUCUUUCCCGUAUUCUUGCAUAAAAAUUGAUGAUGAAUCUAUUCUCUCGAUGAUUCCUCGAUGAUCCUGAGAAAAGAAAAAGAUAAGAUGAAAAUAAGAAGAGAAAGAGAAGAAAUAUGAGAUAGAAAAGGAAACCGAAGAAAGAAAUGAAAAGAAAGUCGAAGAAAGAAAAGAAGAGAGAAAAUUGAAAACGAUCCGCGUUACGUGUUCAAAAUGAGAAGUAGACAUAUUGAAUAUCUUUCCAUCCGACGACCAAAACUGGAGUACCAAAAUCGAGCUCGAUUUUUGUGUAUUAAAAAAAGAUCCAUCUAAGAGAUCCAAAACAGAAGGACCCUUCUCAAAGAUUCCACCUGAGAACUUUAAACGAUGCUGAAAGAGCAGCCCAUACAAAGGCCCAUAUUCAUGGGUCCCAUUCAUGGGUCUAAUCCAAGACAUAAAUAAUGAUUAAUAAGAAUAGAUAAAAAUAAAUAGAAAAAAUGGCGAGCAUAAGUGGGAUUAGAAAAAUUUUCUAAAUAAAAAGAUAUGCAAACAUUCGCUCGGUAAUACUUGCAUCCCAUAAGAUUUCAAUAUAUUGCAAGUACAAUAUUAUCGACUCAGAUCUCACUGUGUAAAAUUUAUUGCAUCUGGAAAUUUAUUUAUAGCCUUCCGUACAAAAAUCUAAAUCGAUAUAUAUAUUCAACAGGGUCAAUUUUAAAUCGAUAAUAUAUGAUAGUAUAUAUGUAUAUACUAUAAUAAUACUCUAAUUAAUAAGCUUUCAUUAAUUAAUCACGUUUGAUGAUAUUUCAUUUUAUAUAUGCGACUAUCAUAAAUACUCGCGUAAGUUCAUAUAAACAUAUGUAUAUAGAUAUAUCUCUUAGGGAUACACGAUAUGUCUUGUAUACAUACAUAUAUAUAUAUAUAUAUAU
Molecule: long non-coding RNA, 4026 nt
Organism: Vespa velutina
Lineage: Eukaryota; Metazoa; Arthropoda; Insecta; Hymenoptera; Vespidae
Exons: 4
Source: RefSeq, a predicted model, not a curated record